GAUAAACGCUGGCGGCGUGCCUAACGCAUGCACGUCGAACGAUCCCGCAAGGGAGAGUGGCGGAAGGGUGAGUAACACGUGGGAAUCUACCUCCUCGCAGGGAACAACCUCUCGAAAGAGAGGCUAAUACCCAAAAGGGUCAGAAAUGAUCAGAGUCGAAAGGCGUGAGGAGAGGAGCCCGCGGCCCAUCAGCUAGUUGGUGAGGUAAUGGCUUACCAAGGCUACGACGGGUAGGGGAUCUGAGAGGAUGUCCCCCACACUGGAACUGAAACACGGUCCAGACGCCUACGGGUGGCAGCAGUGAGGAAUAUUGGACAAUGGGCGAAAGCCCGAUCCAGCAACGCCGCGUGGAGGAUGAAGGCCUUCGGGUCGUAAACUUCUUUAGAGGGAGACGAGAAAGGACGGUAUCCCUAGAAUAAGCGACGGCAAACUACGUGCCAGCAGCCGCGGUAAU
RNAcentral lists this ribosomal RNA (454 nucleotides) under uncultured bacterium. RNAcentral's name for it is "bacterial SSU rRNA". It matches the Rfam family "Bacterial small subunit ribosomal RNA", at positions 28 to 524 of the family's 1533-position model. The record is from RNAcentral.